GACGAACCGUGCGAACGCUGUUCGGAAUCACUGGGCUUAAAGGGCGCGUAGGCGGUCUGCCAAGUCUGGGGUGAAAUCCUCCGGCUCAACCGGAGAACGGCCUCGGAUACUGGCGGUCUCGAGGGAGGUAGGGGCGUGCGGAACUAAGGGUGGAGCGGUGAAAUGCGUUGAUAUCCUUAGGAACUCCGGUGGCGAAGGCGGCACGCUGGACCUCUUCUGACGCUGAGGCGCGAAAGCCAGGGGAGCAAACGGG
Molecule: ribosomal RNA, 253 nt
Filed under: uncultured bacterium
Lineage: Bacteria
Description: partial 16S ribosomal RNA
Rfam family: Bacterial small subunit ribosomal RNA
Source: RNAcentral